CGGUCCAGACUCCUACGGGAGGCAGCAGUGGGGAAUAUUGCACAAUGGGCGCAAGCCUGAUGCAGCCAUGCCGCGUGUGUGAAGAAGGCCUUCGGGUUGUAAAGCACUUUCAGCGGGGAGGAAGGCGAUAAGGUUAAUAACCUCAUCGAUUGACGUUACCCGCAGAAGAAGCACCGGCUAACUCCGUGCCAGCAGCCGCGGUAAUACGGAGGGUGCAAGCGUUAAUCGGAAUUACUGGGCGUAAAGCGCACGCAGGCGGUCUGUCAAGUCGGA
RNAcentral lists this ribosomal RNA (273 nucleotides) under Klebsiella pneumoniae. RNAcentral describes it as "partial 16S ribosomal RNA". It matches the Rfam family "Bacterial small subunit ribosomal RNA", at positions 327 to 592 of the family's 1533-position model. Lineage: Bacteria; Pseudomonadati; Pseudomonadota; Gammaproteobacteria; Enterobacterales; Enterobacteriaceae. The record is from RNAcentral.